RNAcentral lists this ribosomal RNA (305 nucleotides) under uncultured bacterium. RNAcentral's name for it is "bacterial SSU rRNA". It matches the Rfam family "Bacterial small subunit ribosomal RNA", at positions 333 to 655 of the family's 1533-position model. The record is from RNAcentral.
UUGGACCUACGGGGCGCAGCAGUCGGGAAUAUUGCGCAAUGGAGGAAACUCUGACGCAGUGACGCCGCGUAUAGGAAGAAGGUUUUCGGAUUGUAAACUAUUGUCGUGAGGGAAGAAAUUGACAGUACCUCAGGAGGAAGCUCCGGCUAACUAUGUGCCAGCAGCCGCGGUAAUACAUAGGGAGCAAGCGUUAUCCGGAUUUAUUGGGUGUAAAGGGUGCGUAGACGGGAAAUUAAGUUAGUUGUGAAAUCCCUCGGCUUAACUGAGGAACUGCAACUAAAACUGCUUUUGUUGAGUGUUGGAGA